Molecule: long non-coding RNA, 342 nt
Filed under: Rattus norvegicus (Norway rat)
Lineage: Eukaryota; Metazoa; Chordata; Mammalia; Rodentia; Muridae
Description: long non-coding RNA NONRATT028286
Source: RNAcentral
CUUGGGCAUAUACCCAAAAGAUGUUCCAAUAUAUAACAAAGACACAUGCUCCACUAUAUUCAUAGCAACCUUAUUUAUAAUAGCCAGAAGCUGGAAAGAACCCAGAUGCCCUUCAACAGAGGAAUGGAUACAAAAAAUGGGGUACAUCUACACAAUGGAAUACUACUCAGCUACCAAAAACAAUGACUUUAUGAAAUUCAUAGGCAAAUGGAUGGAACUAGAAAAUAUCAUCCUGAGUGAGGUAACCCAAUCACAGAAAAACGUACAUGGUAUGCACUCAUUGAUAUGUGGAUAUUAGCCCAAAUGCUCGAAUUACCCUUGUUGCACAGAACACGUGAAACU